Molecule: ribosomal RNA, 484 nt
Filed under: uncultured bacterium
Lineage: Bacteria
Description: partial 16S ribosomal RNA
Rfam family: Bacterial small subunit ribosomal RNA
Source: RNAcentral
AUUGAACGCUGGCGGCAGGCCUAACACAUGCGAGUCGAGCGGAUGAAGGGAGCUUGCUCCUGGAUUCAGCGGCGGACGGGUGAGUAAUGCCUAGGAAUCUGCCUGGUAGUGGGGGAUAACGUCCGGAAACGGGCGCUAAUACCGCAUACGUCCUGAGGGAGAAAGUGGGGGAUCUUCGGACCUCACGCUAUCAGAUGAGCCUAGGUCGGAUUAGCUAGUUGGUGGAGUAAAGGCCUACCAAGGCGACGAUCCGUAACUGGUCUGAGAGGAUGAUCAGUCACACUGGAACUGAGACACGGUCCAGACUCCUACGGGAGGCAGCAGUGGGGAAUAUUGGACAAUGGGCGAAAGCCUGAUCCAGCCAUGCCGCGUGUGUGAAGAAGGUCUUCGGAUUGUAAAGCACUUUAAGUUGGGAGGAAGGGCAGUAAGUUAAUACCUUGCUGUUUUGACGUUACCAACAGAAUAAGCACCGGCUAACUUCGUG